Long non-coding RNA from Siniperca chuatsi (mandarin fish), 763 nucleotides. RefSeq lists it as uncharacterized. The transcript is spliced from 2 exons. The record is from RefSeq and is a predicted model, not a curated record. NCBI's taxonomy places the organism in Eukaryota, Metazoa, Chordata, Actinopteri, Centrarchiformes, Sinipercidae.
AAGAUUUGAGAGUUGGAGGGAGACAGUGGGAGGAGAAAUGAGGAGGAAAAGGAGAAGAAGUCUGAGUGAGAGGGGGCCGGAAGUGGGAGGGAGAAAGAGGAUGGAAAUAUUGUGGAAGAAAAAUGUUUUAAGAAGGGAGUGUGAGGGAGAAGAAGCUGUAAAUACUCAUAUUUUAGGAAGAGAAAAGUUGGAAAGUGGAAAAAAGUUAAAAAGCAGAAAACAAAACAAAAAAGGAAAUCAAGGAAUAUUGGACAAAAUGGAUAGAAAGAGGGAAAGAGAGAGGAAGAGCAACAGGAAAUGCAAGUUGCAGACAGUGCCACUGUGUGCCCACCAUGACCAGACACCCUGCUUCCUCUCCUGUUAUGACCCGGAGACCGUGAUCGGGCCAUCUGUGCCACUUUGUGCCAGGUUCAGCAGACGGCUUCCCCUCUGACAUCAUCACUGUGAGACGGUGAUGUAGCUGCCAUUACAGGAGACGGGGCCAAAGCCAACAAUGGAGGACACUGACAGUGUGUCUGGUAUUUUGCUGGGCGUACAGUGGCUGACGUCUCUUUUUCUGACAGACUUUCAGAGUUUAGUCUGGCAUGAGUAGACUACACGCUACACAUUCUUAGCUCCCACAAUAGUAAGUAAAUAAAAUGAUAUUAUGGGGGCAAAGAAACACUGUGCAGAUUCUAUGUUUUGCCAUAAGCAGUGAAACAAGACGCAAACUGUUUUUCAUUGUAUACCUUCUUUUUUUUUAAGAUAAAAAAACCCUUUCACA